Molecule: long non-coding RNA, 300 nt
Organism: Perognathus longimembris pacificus (Pacific pocket mouse)
Lineage: Eukaryota; Metazoa; Chordata; Mammalia; Rodentia; Heteromyidae
Exons: 3
Source: RefSeq, a predicted model, not a curated record
CAUGCUAGACGAGUACUCUGCCACUAAGCCACAUUCCCAGCCCUGGGCACUGGAGGAUACUGGAAGGAAGAGUCAUAUGUGGGGAUAAUGAGUAUAAGGAGGAGCUGAGUUUGGAUUUGGGCCCAGGCACAUGGGGUUCUGUAACUGCAGGCCUAGAAAGGAGUGAGAGCAGGAUGGGGUGGCCUGUGUAACUAUCUAGAUGAGGCUCUUCCAUGUUGGGCCCUCACUGACUUCAAGGCUGAUUUCCAGAUCACAAGCAUGAAGCUGAGUCCAAAGGAACAGCCUGGGCCGGGCCCCCUG